Venturia canescens is the source of this 1404-nucleotide long non-coding RNA. RefSeq lists it as uncharacterized. The record is from RefSeq and is a predicted model, not a curated record. Lineage: Eukaryota; Metazoa; Arthropoda; Insecta; Hymenoptera; Ichneumonidae. The transcript has 3 exons.
GAUCGAUUAUUGUUCUGUUGGGUUCAAGGGUCGUCAAGCCUCUCGUCAUGCCUAGAGCGAAUGAUGAAUCGUGCGUGUUUGACGUAUAACCACUUCUCAUGCAGCAUGUACACGGCAUUAUAUUCGUACACGUGAACAUGUUCGUAUCGCGGUAAAUAGCGGAACGAAGUCGAUAGCUGCUGGUCGAUUCGAGUUACGUCCUCGUACAGCAGACACCACACAUUUAGAUUCACGAUGCUCGACUUUGUAACCGGCCCACUCGUCUUCCAACGUCCGGCAGCAUAUCGUUUUCGUACGGAGUAGAAACAAUCGCCAUCAGUCGCACAUCCGUUUGCAGUCCGUCAAGAGUUGCUCGGCUGAGUUUCUCCCUCUUCUCUUUCUCUUCCUCUUGCAAUUCGAUGAGGCUACACGCAUCGCUAUGCAUUUGCAGUGUACCAGCAUUGAGGAGAUGGUCUACUGAGGAGCCUCGAUCUAGUGGCUCGAGAGAGAGGCGGAAAGGACGAUCGAAAGGACGCGGGGAGGGCCGAGGAAUGGUGGAAAGCAGCAAAGAGACGCGAAAACCAUGGCGCAGAAAGAGGAAAGUUAAAACGGAGUGAGGGAGGCGGGGAAAGGAACGAGCGAGAAAUUACGACUGCGAAACAACCAACGAAAUUUUGUGUAAAAAACAAAUUGUUUUUUAUUUUUUCUUCUUUCUUUAAAUAAUAUUAAAGUCUCGUGAAAUAUCGCGCGAACGACGGACCGGAGACGCGGAAUAAGAAUCACAAUGGUUUUGUCAAGUUUAUCUCGUCGACGUUGGAACUCGUGAAAAAGUAGAAUCCCGUUGAAAAAUACGAAAUAAACAAAUAUAAAGAAAUACACGUAAAACGGAACGAAAGUAAUGAAAAGACGCUUCAGCUGAACGCACGACCAAUUGACUGCGCGGCGGGAGAAGAGAAAAUAUGGUCAGAGACUGAGCAGGCAGCACAGAGAAACUAAUGAACUCUGACCCGCUGAGGACAAUUAGAAGGAAGACGUUGAAUCUAGUCAAGAAAUAUUACGAAUCAAGCUCGCUUUGUGAAAUUCCUUCUGAAAUUCCACUAGCUUACAUCGAAAUUAUAUUGCUUCCACAAUCUCGUGAAAUGAUAUCCGUUUAAAUGAAAUACUAAUAAGCCGAAGAAACGUAUAAAAAUAUAAUAACUGAAUAAGGGAAAACAGAAAAGCAAUAAUGGAUGGAAAAAUCCAUAAAUAAUUGAACACUGCGCGUAUAUUUUUUGAUAUUUUUCUGUCCGGAUGAUCUUCUUAUCAACGGUGUACUUUUCAAAGAGAACUUUUGAGUACCUCACUGUAUUCCGUAUCCGUUCUACUUUCUGACUUAAUAAUAAAAAUACGAAAAACUGAAAAAUAAAACGAAAAGAAGUUCGUGUA